This 250-nucleotide ribosomal RNA is filed under the name uncultured bacterium. RNAcentral's name for it is "partial 16S ribosomal RNA". It matches the Rfam family "Bacterial small subunit ribosomal RNA", at positions 779 to 1031 of the family's 1533-position model. The record is from RNAcentral.
UAGAUACCCUGGUAGUCCACGCCGUAAACGAUGAGUGCUAGGUGUUGGGUCCUUUCCGGGACUCAGUGCCGCAGCUAACGCAUUAAGCACUCCGCCUGGGGAGUACGACCGCAAGGUUGAAACCAAGAAUGAUCGGGGGCCCGCACAAGCGGUGGAGCAUGUGGUUUAAUUCGAAGCAACGCGAAGAACCUUACCAGGUCUUGACAUCCCUCUGACCGCUCUAGAGAUAGAGUUUUCCUUCGGGACAGAG